AACGCAAGUUGCGUCAAUUUGAAAAAAUUGGCAUAUUUGUAUGAGUUUUAUUAAAACCAAUAAAGUUUUUAAUAAAAAGAAUGGGGUUAUUUGUUUUUGAUUACGAAAACAGAUUGCCUUGAAAUUUUAAUUUUAAUUAUGAACAAUUUUGAAAAUUUUGCUUUGAUUGUGAAAUUUCUAAUAAGAAAAAUCAUUCUCAGUUGUUUUUCACUCAUUUAUUUGAGUGAGAACAAUUUGAAUUGCAAUGGUUUUUUAUUAUGAAAUUAUUAAAAAACAAUCAUAACAACAAAAUCAUUUCACAUUUAUAUAUAAACUCAUAUCAAAUAAGAACACCCGCUGAACUUAA
RNAcentral lists this unclassified non-coding RNA (346 nucleotides) under uncultured fungus. Its description in RNAcentral is "partial contains ITS1, 5.8S rRNA and ITS2". Lineage: Eukaryota; Fungi. The record is from RNAcentral.